CCUACGGGUGGCAGCAGUGGGGAAUAUUGCACAAUGGGGGAAACCCUGAUGCAGCGACGCCGCGUGAGUGAAGAAGUAAUUCGUUACGUAAAGCUCUAUUAGCAGGGAAGAAACACUGACCUACGGUCAGCAGACGGUACCUGAGUAAGAAGCCCCGGCUAACUACGUGCCAGCAGCCGCGGUAAUACGUAGGGGGCAAGCGUUAUCUGGCUUUACUGGGUGGAAAGGGAGCGUAGACGGUCCGACAAGCCUGUAGUGAAAUGCCGGGGCUUAACUGCGGAAGUGCUGUGGAAACUGGCGAACUAGAGUGCGGGAGAGGUAGGCGGAAUUCGUGGUGUAGCGGUGAAAUGCUUAGAUAUUACGAAGAACGCCGGUGGCGAAGGCAGCUUACUGGACCGUAACUGACGUUGAGGCUCGAAAGCGUGGGGAGCGAACAGGAUUAGAUACCCCUGUAGUC
Molecule: ribosomal RNA, 457 nt
Filed under: uncultured bacterium
Lineage: Bacteria
Description: partial 16S ribosomal RNA
Rfam family: Bacterial small subunit ribosomal RNA
Source: RNAcentral